UGGUUUUCCAAAAACAUGUCUUAAUGGAAUUUUUAUUAAGUCUGGCCUGCUCAAUGAUUAUUAAUAAUUAAAUAGCCGCAGUAUUUUGACUGUGCGAAGGUAGCAUAAUCAUUUGUCUUUUAAUUGAAGGCUUGUAUGAAUGGUUAGAUGAAUGAGUAACUUUCUUUACAUUAAAUAUUGAAUUUAAUUUUUUAUUUAAAAAGCUAAAAUGGUUAAAAGGGACGAGAAGACCCUAUAGAAUUUUACUAAUAUAUAAUUGAUAAUUAUUUUGGUAAUUGAUAAUUAUAUAUUAUAUAUUAGUUUUGUUGGGGUGACAGUGAGAUUAUCAUAACUCUCAUAAUUUAUAGUACUUAUAGAUUGUUAUAUUAAAGAUCCUAAUUUUGGAUAAUUAGAUUAAAUUACCUUAGGGAUAACAGCGUAAUUUUUCUGGAGAGUUCUUAUCGAUAGAAUAGUUUGCGACCUCGAUGUUGGAUUAAAAUUAGAUUUAAGUGCAAAAGCUUAAUUUCUAGGUCUGUUCGACCUUUAAAAUUUUACAUGAUCGAUUUCCAACCCGG
Molecule: ribosomal RNA, 554 nt
Filed under: Serbana borneensis
Lineage: Eukaryota; Metazoa; Arthropoda; Insecta; Hemiptera; Pentatomidae
Description: partial large subunit ribosomal RNA
Rfam family: Bacterial large subunit ribosomal RNA
Source: RNAcentral